RNAcentral lists this ribosomal RNA (122 nucleotides) under Cephus cinctus (wheat stem sawfly). Lineage: Eukaryota; Metazoa; Arthropoda; Insecta; Hymenoptera; Cephidae. The record is from RNAcentral.
GGCAAGGUCCAUACCACGUUGAAUACACCAGUUCUCGUCCGAUCACUGAAGUUAAGCAACAUUGGGCGCGGUCAGUACUUGGAUGGGUGACCGCUUGGGAACACCGCGUGUCCUUGCCUCUC